GAUUCCUAAUGCUAGACCCCUACUCAGGCAUCCCAGAUCUUAGAAGAAAAAGAGGAUUCUCACUGAUUAAGCACUUGCUAUGUGCCAGGUACUGUGAGGGCAGUUUACAUCUGUUUCUUUAUGUAAUCUUCAUAGCAACACAGUGAGAUAGGUAUUAUCAUCUGCUUUGAUAGAUAAGGAAACAAAACUGCAGAGAGAGAUCAAAUAGCUUGCCCAAAGUCACACAGGAGAACCAGGGUUGAUCUCAGAUACAUGUUUGAAUCUUAUGCCUCCAGCACUCUACCCCUUAGAAACUGGGGGUGUCUGACCAGACCUCCUAGCCUGGCUCACACUGCCUCUAGGGUCUAAAAAAGUACUGUCUUUCAAAUAACUGUAGAAUUCCACUGUCCUUAUAUAACUUUAUUACAUAAAGAAUAACCAUAGGUCUUGAGGCUAAAUUAAUGCUAAACCAGAAUCACAUGUGGCCCAAUGUUGAACACUUAACUUAAGGUGACAGCAGUGUCCAGUGGGGUCUUCCAGGAAUCUGCAGACCCAAGGGGCCUACUCUGAGGCUUGGAAAUGCCCAGAGCUAGCUGCCCUGGCUUUCCUGUUACACUGCUUAGCAAUCAGGGAGGUCCCAGGACAGGGGUUAACACCCCCUUCAGGAAUGAGGGUAGCUAGGGUCCUCAGGGGAGCUUCCAGGGAGCUGCUCAGUGGCUAGGAAGGUGCUAAGGGGUGCAGCCCAGCUGGAGGCCAGGCCUCAGAUGACAGUUAACCAGAGGGCCAGCCUGCCAGGGCUGUGAUUAGGGCUGGUCCCUCCCAGGAGCCCUGCUAAUGAUCCUUUGUAGCAGAGCUUGCAUAAUUCCAUACUUCCUAAUUUCUGAAAAGAAUGAAUCGCUCUCCCUUCUGUUUGCCUAGAAGAAGAGCUUAUUUUGAUAAAAACCUCCAGGGAAAGUCAUAGAAAAUCACUUAAGAAAAACAGAGACUUUUAAAAGAACGUUCUGAGCCUGUCAAGCGGAGUAAUUUGCAGUCGACAAGGGGCACGCUGAGGUUGGGAGAAGCCUUCCAGAGGAGUGUGCAAAUAGGCCACAGAUCAUUCUGAAAAGGAAGCCCACUCAUCCCAGGACACUGGAUUUCAAAUAGAACAGGGAGCCCUGGAGGCAGAGAAAGGUGGCUGGGGACAAGAGUAAAUGACUGCUUCUCUCUCUCUGCUUCGGACUCGGCCCUCAGACACACCUCAGAGUCUCCCGAGAUGUCUCUUAAGUCACCGAUGUCACCAUGGCCGGCGGGACCCUGUCGCUGGACGCUCCGCCAGGAGGCCCCAUCCACUGGAGUCACCGAACUGACAGACUGUUUGCUUUAAGGGACAAAGGCACGGAGUUGAGACUAGGAAGAGGGGGCUGCAGGGGAUUCCAUUCUAGCCGCAGUAGGACCCCCCAAAUGGCCAGACCCAGAGAAAAAGGGGCCCCCAAGGUACCUAGCCCUCCAGUCGAGCCGAAAGGUGGGCAGUGUACCCAGUGCAAGCUGCUGGCUCUGACAGCCGCAAGCAGAUUCCCUGUACAAAAAGGGAAAGGAGGGAAAAGGCUAUGAAUGCUGGCCUGGCUCCCAGAAGCGAGGCUGCCCAGAAAAAUGGAAACAGCUGCUCACCCACACGACCAGUGGGCUUGGCAAGCGCAGGUCAGAGCAGGCUCCAGAGCAGGAGGCGGAGCCCCGGGUUCGGGUCCCUGGGGCUUGUCCCUUAGUUGCCAUAACCACGCCCGCCCCACCCCUUCAAGGCUCGGCUCACACGUGGUGGGAGUAGCAGGAGCUCUGGGCUGGGAGUUUUCAGUCCGGCAGAGUGCCUAACUAGCUUCAUCACGGGAGCAGUGACUCACGUCCCCUGGGCCCAGGAGGGCCCUCUAACCAGAUGAGGUUUACUGUGAGGAUGCCCACAGACCUUCCAGCCCUGACAGCUGGCCCAUCGGGCCUCCUGCUCUCACAGCCGACUCCCCGCGGGACCUGGGGAGCCAGCGCAGUAACAGCUCCCCGCUGCCGGGAUGGUGGGGACCUGUUCUGCGCACUGUGUAGGAUGCCCCGCCCCCGUGCAUAGGGUGCCCCACCCGCCGUGUAUAGGAUGCCAAGUGCCCCCCCACCGUGUGUAGGCGGUCCCGCCCCCCUUGAGACAGGGCCUGGCCUCCUGUACAUCGCACGUCCCCAGCAGUUCUGGGACCAAUGGAGACUUGUUACAAGUACACUAUUUCCUGUGAUCCUCACCAUAAAUUGGGGGGCAGAAGGAAAGGAGUUCUUGACUCCAUUUUACAAAGGCAUUGAGUCCCAGAGAGGGUAAACAACUUGCCCAAAGUUCCACAGCUUAUUACUGGAAGGCCUGGAAUGCAGCUCCCGUGGAGACCUGGCUUCCUGAGGGAAGGAAGGAGAGACUCUCUUUGUUCUGCCUCAUGUAUUGAGCUUCGGAGGGAUCUGUUCUGUUCACUGGUGUAUUCUUGGUGCCUAGAGGACUUCCUGGUGCAUAAUGAAAGCUUGAUUUGUUAAAUGAAAGAAAGACAGAAAAAAAAGAGAGGGGCUGGGAGAGAAAGAAGCAAACUCACCUGAGGCCUACAGUUGACAAGGACUGUCCAGGGAGAGCCGCCACAGAUCAAGCCUACCCUGCCUGCAGUUUUGUCUUUUAUUUAAUUUGAAUUUUUUAAAAAUCAUGAUUAUUAGACAGAAAAACUAAUAAUGUACUUAGAAAUGUUUGUCUGUGGAUUAAGAAUGAGACGAUCUGUUGUUUGUUUACAUUGUUGAGAUCCAGUUAGUAAAAAUACUUGUGUUAAAUA
Manis javanica (Malayan pangolin) is the source of this 2792-nucleotide non-coding RNA. Lineage: Eukaryota; Metazoa; Chordata; Mammalia; Pholidota; Manidae. The record is from RefSeq and is a predicted model, not a curated record.